AAUCAUUCAAUCUCAUGGAAAGAUACUCUAGUUUAAGGAAAUAACUUAUCUCAAAGCUUCAUGGAAAAUACCAUAUCAAGGAAGAAUACUUUCGUUUAGAGAAACAACUCAUAUCAAGGAAAUGCUUUAGUUAGGGAACCAUUUUGCAACUUUACCAUUAGGAAAAUAGCUCAUAGGAAGGAAAAAUACUUUAGUUUUCA
Molecule: long non-coding RNA, 200 nt
Filed under: Capsicum annuum
Lineage: Eukaryota; Viridiplantae; Streptophyta; Magnoliopsida; Solanales; Solanaceae
Description: long non-coding RNA (CANN_LNC001987)
Source: RNAcentral